UACGUAGGCAGCGAGCGUUGUUCGGAGUUACUGGGCGUAAAGGGUGUGUAGGCGGUCCUUUAAGUUUGGUGUGAAAUCUCCCGGCUCAACUGGGAGGGUGCGCCGGAUACUGAGGGGCUAGAGUGCGGGAGAGGAGAGUGGAAUUCCUGGUGUAGCGGUGAAAUGCGCAGAUAUCAGGAGGAACACCGAUGGCGAAGGCAGGUCUCUGGGCCACUACUGACGCUGAGAAGCGAAAGCGUGGGGAGCAAACAGG
This 253-nucleotide ribosomal RNA is filed under the name uncultured bacterium. Its description in RNAcentral is "partial 16S ribosomal RNA". It matches the Rfam family "Bacterial small subunit ribosomal RNA", at positions 524 to 776 of the family's 1533-position model. The record is from RNAcentral.